RNAcentral lists this long non-coding RNA (352 nucleotides) under Homo sapiens (human). RNAcentral describes it as "HSALNT0059312". Lineage: Eukaryota; Metazoa; Chordata; Mammalia; Primates; Hominidae. The record is from RNAcentral.
CAUCCACCCACUCUCCUCAGCUCUCAGCUGGAACUGGAGCCUGACCCUGAGCAUGACAUUUGGCAUAGUCGUUGGCAGGAUGAGAUAAUCCUCUCUCCACAACUUGAUAAUGCACAAACUGCAAAUCUUCUGGUACUCACUGCUGCAAGCAAACUUGAAGUCUUUCUGAGAUGAUGAAACCAAUGUCCUGAAGUCUGAAGUUCCCUGGCUACAGCCUACUGGCUAGUAAUCAGCAGAGUGGGGAUUUAUGUUCUAGGUCGCUCUUGGUUCCAAGGCCACUGCACUAUGUUGCUUUCCAGCUCCCUGCAGAACAGCAAGUACACUUUCAUAUACACCAUAGAGAAUUUUUGAA